RNAcentral lists this ribosomal RNA (1404 nucleotides) under Triticum aestivum (bread wheat). Its description in RNAcentral is "partial small subunit ribosomal RNA". Lineage: Eukaryota; Viridiplantae; Streptophyta; Magnoliopsida; Poales; Poaceae. The record is from RNAcentral.
AUGCUAUGGUUCAGUUCUAAAGCACCUGCUUCUUACUUGGCUGAGCAUUCUGAUUGGAUUGGAUUGCAGCAGAGACCCAUAAACACCAGAACCAGAACCAGUGUACUUCUCGUGAAGAGCCUUCCGAUGAUUCCUUCCCUCGGCACUCUCCUCGCCGGAGUUCGCCGGAGCCGCCAUGCCAUUGCCAAGACCACACCUGUUUCCGCUCUCGCUGCCCUCCUCUUCCUCGCAGCCGCCACAUUCUGGCUCCUCUUCCUCGGGCCUCUCGGAUCGCCCAACACCACCUCGUCGUCCGGCGCCGACACCCACGGCAUGGGCGCCACCGCGUGCGAUACCACGCUGGGCGAGUGGGUCCGCGACCCCACCGGCGCGCGGCCGCACUACACCAACGCGACGUGCGCCUUCAUCCAGGACUACCAGAACUGCAUGAAGCACGGCAGGCCCAGCCUCGAUUUCCUGCAGUGGAGGUGGCGCCCCGACGGCGGCCCGGGCUGCGAGCUCCCGCGCUUCGACGCGGCGCGCUUCUUCCGGAUCGUUCGGGGCAAGUCGAUCCUGUUCGUCGGGGACUCGCUGGCCAGCAGCCACGUCACCUCCCUCAUGUGCACCCUGUCGGAGGCGGAGAUCCCGACGAGGCGGAGCGCCGAUGGGUUCGAGCACUGGCGCUUCCCGGCGCACGACUUCGCCGUCUCCUUCUUCUGGACGCCGUUCCAGGUCCGGUGGCGCCUGACGAGCGGCCCGCCCGAGGCGGUCGGCCCCGACCGGCAUGGGGAGGUGUUCGCCGGGCCCAGCGACCUCCACCUCGAUGAGCCCGACGAGCGGUGGAUGCCCGCGGCCAAGGAGCACGACUACGUGGUCGUGUCCGCGUCGCACUGGUUCGCGCGCCCGGCCGUGUACUACCGCCGUGGCCGCGCCGUCGGCUGCCACGGCUGCGGCACCACGAACGGCAACAUCACCGCGCUCCCACCGCGGUACGCGCAGCGCGCGGCGUUCCGCACCGUGCUGCGGGCGCUCGCGGGACUCGACGGGUUCAAGGGGACGGCGAUCCUGCGGACGGUGGCGCCGACGCACUACGCGAACGGCGGGUGGUUCGACGGCGGGGAGUGCCCGGACACGCAGCCGCUCGACCGGGACGAGGCGGCGGACAUGGAGGAGCCGGAGGGCGGGUUCUACAGGGCCCAGCUGGAGGAGUUCGGAGCGGCGGAGGAGGAGGCGAGGAAGAACGGCGUGCGGCUCAGGCUGAUGGACGUGACCCGGAUCAUGCUGCGGCGUCCGGACGGGCACCCCGAUCGGUACGGACACGGCGCCGGCGACCACGGCGGCUUCGACAUCGACUGCCUGCACUGGUGCUUACCCGGACCGAUCGAUGUGUGGAACGAGCUGCUGCUUCAUAUCAUGGCCGGUUAG